RNAcentral lists this ribosomal RNA (773 nucleotides) under uncultured archaeon. RNAcentral's name for it is "bacterial SSU rRNA". It matches the Rfam family "Archaeal small subunit ribosomal RNA", at positions 27 to 786 of the family's 1478-position model. The record is from RNAcentral.
CUGCUAUUUGGGUGAGGAUAGCCAUGCGAGUCGAAUGGGAUACCUAAAUUUCCCAUGGCGAACUGCUCAGUAACACAUGAUCAACUUACCCUAUUGAGAAAGAUAACCUCGGGAAACUGAGGAUAAUAUUUCAUAGUUGAAUUGGCUUGGAAAAGUUUUUCAACAAAAGGGAUAGGGAAAAUGGUCUCUAUCCGCUAUAGGAUAGGAUCGUGUUCGAUUAUAGUAGUUGGUGAGGUAACGGCUCACCAAGCCGAUAAUCGAUAGGGGCCGUGAGAGCGGGAGCCCCGAGAUGGGUACUGAGACAACGACCCAGGCCUUACGAGGCGCAGCAGGUACGAAACCUCCACAAUACACGAAAGUGUGAUGGGGUUACCCAAAGUGUUCAUUAUUGAACUGUGGUAGGAGAGUAAUGUCCCCUACUAGAAAGGAGAGGGCAAGGCUGGUGCCAGCCGCCGCGGUAAAACCAGCUCUUCAAGUGGUCGGGAUAAUUAUUGGGCUUAAAGUGUCCGUAGCCGGUUUGGUAAGUUCCUGGUAAAAUCGGAUAGCUUAACUAUCUGUAUGCUAGGAAUACUGCUAUACUAGAGGGCGGGAGAGGUCUGAGGUACUACAGGGGUAGGGGUGAAAUCUUAUAAUCCUUGCAGGACCACCAGUGGCGAAGGCGUCAGACUGGAACGCGCCUGACGGUGAGGGACGGAAGCCAGGGGAGCGAACCGGAUUAAAUACCCGGGUUAGUCCUGGCCGUAACGAUGCAUACUAGGUGAUGGUACGGCUAU